UGGGUACAGGCCAAAGCGCUUCGCAAGUAGAAAAUAGAUGGCUCGCUCGCUAACUUACAUUUCGUCGACAGAUGGAGGAGAGGUCUUAUCGUUGAUCGUUACUUUUUCAGAAUGUUGUCGUUCGGAUGCGGCCUUUUCAGCAGUUUCCUUCUCGAGUUCUGGGAUAGGCGUGUUGUCCCAGUCAGAACGAACGUAGGCUUCCGAGUCGGUAGCGUCUUCACGAGAAGCGUUUUCUUUAGGUGGAAUAACAUCUUCCUCUUGGGGAUUUCGAGAGUGUACUGAACUAGCGAAAAAACGAUUAGCGGCAACGACAGGGUUUUGAAUUGGAAGAGAACAAGCCUUUCUCGCCGUGGGCAAACCAAGUUUAACGGUUUGCACGAUCAGUUGGGUACUAUGUCUGAGGCUCAUAAUGAAAGGACAAGGAUAAUAAUCGACAAGUUAGAUUUAAUAGAAGAAGAAACAA
Molecule: non-coding RNA, 463 nt
Organism: Schizosaccharomyces pombe (fission yeast)
Lineage: Eukaryota; Fungi; Ascomycota; Schizosaccharomycetes; Schizosaccharomycetales; Schizosaccharomycetaceae
Source: the annotation of a GenBank genome assembly